AAAUGAGUUACAUUUUUCUUUGCUAUUGUUAAGGUUCCGUAGCUCAGUUGGUUAGAGCGUGCGGCUGUUAACCG
Molecule: non-coding RNA, 74 nt
Organism: Plasmodium vivax (malaria parasite P. vivax)
Lineage: Eukaryota; Apicomplexa; Aconoidasida; Haemosporida; Plasmodiidae
Source: the annotation of a RefSeq genome assembly